CUUAAAUGAAUUGACGGGGACCCGCACAAGCAGCGGAGCGUGUGGUUUAAUUCGAUGCUACACGAAGAACCUUACCAGGGUUUGACAUGCAAGUGGUAGGAAACUGAAAAGGGACGACCUUCGGGGAGCUUGCACAGGUGCUGCAUGGCUGUCGUCAGCUCGUGUCGUGAGAUGUUCGGUUAAGUCCGCUAACGAGCGCAACCCUCACUGUGUGUUAUAUGUGUCACACGGGACUGCCGGUUUUAAGCCGGAGGAAGGUGGGAUGACGUCAAGUCAGCAUGGCCUUUAUAUCCUGGGCUACACACACGCUACAAUGGUCGGUACAAUAGGUUGCCAAGCCGCGAGGCGGAGCCAAUCCAAAAAAGCCGGCCUCAGUUCAGAUUGUAGGCUGCAACUCGCCUGCAUGAAGAUGGAGUUGCUAGUAACCGCAGGUCAGCAAUACUGCGGUGAAUACGUUCCCGGGUCUU
Molecule: ribosomal RNA, 467 nt
Filed under: uncultured Anaerolineaceae bacterium
Lineage: Bacteria; Bacillati; Chloroflexota; Anaerolineae; Anaerolineales; Anaerolineaceae
Description: bacterial SSU rRNA
Rfam family: Bacterial small subunit ribosomal RNA
Source: RNAcentral